AAAAAUACACUUACCUGUAAGAUUAAAAUUACACAUGUGUCCCAUUUAAUGUCCAACAACAAAUAUUUUGACAACAAAUAUUUUCAGAAUGCAUAUUUUAUUCAGAAUUAUUGCGCUAUAAUUAUGUUGCUUUCCAUCUGUUUAGCGCGCAUGCGCGGAGCAGCGUUCGUUUACUCACGUAAGCCUUGCCUCGCCCACUCCUGACAGCAAAAUUGAUAUAUUUGCAUGACUUUUUAAAGAUUAAAAAUAUACCUGUGGCAUGUCAGUUAUGCACCGAGGAAAACGCAACGUCCUGGGACCUGGGUCGAAAUUCAUGCAAUUGCGUAAACUUAAAUGCCCCCAGAUCGCAUUGCUGGACCCAACAUGAAGCCUGAAGAUCAUGCUUGGCCAUAUCUUGAGAAUGAUCCAAAGGGCAUCUUGAGCUGGGAAAAACAUCAAAACUGUCUGUAUAUCAGUCACAUAAACAAUGUUUCUUAUUUGAUUUGUGAUCUAGGCCUAUAAGUAACACACAAUAUUAAAUAUUUCUAAUUAUUUUAAUUAUUAUUAUUAUUAUUAUUUUUUAAGAAUUGAUUCAAACAUUUUUAAACUCAUCCUCGAGAUGAACAGCUGCUUACAAUCAUUACUAAAUUGGUGUGAUUGUAUUAAGGGAGACGUGUGACCAAACACCUAGAAAUGUACCAGUUGUCAAGCCAUCCAAAUGCUCACAAUGAUCUGGAAUUAGGUUAGUAUAUAAUAUCAGUAACACAUUCACAACAUAAAGGUCAGGAAACUUAUGUAGAAAAAAAAAAAAAGAGUAUGUAAAAAGAUUGCUCAAAGAUCUGCUGGAUGUAAGUUGCCAAUCAACAGAUGAGGUAUUUUCACUUGAUGUACACUUGAUGUUAAUUUACUGUGGACCAUUUCCACUAUGUUCAUGCUAGUUCCAGAAAAGAGUUGUAAGCUGCAUUCACAUUUACUCCAAUAACGCUUAUUCGAGUUCAGAUUCAUGCCAAUCUUGAGAUUUCAAAGGCUUCAAAAAACUAACUGAGAUGUAGCAGGCCUAAGACACAAAAUGUGUAUAAUAUAAUUUUUUUUGUUUUUCACUAUAUAUUUAUUUAUUUAUUACUGCU
Molecule: long non-coding RNA, 1106 nt
Filed under: Carassius auratus (goldfish)
Lineage: Eukaryota; Metazoa; Chordata; Actinopteri; Cypriniformes; Cyprinidae
Description: lncRNA (ENSCARG00000067194.1)
Source: RNAcentral